This 505-nucleotide ribosomal RNA is filed under the name uncultured bacterium. RNAcentral describes it as "bacterial SSU rRNA". It matches the Rfam family "Bacterial small subunit ribosomal RNA", at positions 29 to 529 of the family's 1533-position model. The record is from RNAcentral.
AGCGAACGUUUGCGGCGGGCUUAACACAUGCAAGUCGAACGAGAAUCCCUUCGGGGAGGAAAGUGGCGCACGGGUGCGUAACACGUGGAUAACCAACCCUUUGGUUUGGGACAACACCGGGAAACUGGUGCUAAUACCAGAUGUGUCGCAGCUGUCUUCAGGCGGUUGCGAGAAAGGCCCGCAAGGGUCGCCAACGGACGGGUCCGCGUCCCAUCAGCUAGUUGGUGAGGUAAUGGCUCACCAAGGCAAAGACGGGUAGCUGGUCUGAGAGGAUGAUCAGCCACACUGGAACUGAGACACGGUCCAGACUCCUACGGGAGGCAGCAGUGGGGAAUAUUGCGCAAUGGGCGAAAGCCUGACGCAGCCACGCCGCGUGAGCGAUGAAGGUCUUCGGAUCGUAAAGCUCUGUGGGGGAGAAGAAGAAAGCCGGUGAAGAGCCGGCCCUGACGGUAUCCCCUUAGCAAGCACCGGCUAACUCCGUGCCAGCAGCCGCGGUAAAGUCUGU